GAUGAACGCUGGCGGCGUGCCUAAUACAUGCAAGUCGAGCGAAUGGAUUAAGAGCUUGCUCUUAUGAAGUUAGCGGCGGACGGGUGAGUAACACGUGGGUAACCUGCCCAUAAGACUGGGAUAACUCCGGGAAACCGGGGCUAAUACCGGAUAACAUUUUGAACCGCAUGGUUCGAAAUUGAAAGGCGGCUUCGGCUGUCACUUAUGGAUGGACCCGCGUCGCAUUAGCUAGUUGGUGAGGUAACGGCUCACCAAGGCAACGAUGCGUAGCCGACCUGAGAGGGUGAUCGGCCACACUUGGACGAGGACACGGCCCAGACUCCUACGGGAGGCAGCAGUAGGGAAUCUUCCGCAAUGGACGAAAGUCUGACGGAGCAACGCCGCGUGAGUGAUGAAGGCUUUCGGGUCGUAAAACUCUGUUGUUAGGGAAGAACAAGUGCUAGUUGAAUAAGCUGGCACCUUGACGGUACCUAACCAGAAAGCCACGGCUAACUACGUGCCAGCCGCCGCCGUAA
RNAcentral lists this ribosomal RNA (515 nucleotides) under uncultured bacterium. RNAcentral's name for it is "partial 16S ribosomal RNA". It matches the Rfam family "Bacterial small subunit ribosomal RNA", at positions 28 to 523 of the family's 1533-position model. The record is from RNAcentral.